RNAcentral lists this ribosomal RNA (1442 nucleotides) under uncultured bacterium. RNAcentral describes it as "16S ribosomal RNA". It matches the Rfam family "Bacterial small subunit ribosomal RNA". The record is from RNAcentral.
AGUCGAGCGGCAACAGGGGAUAACGUUUCUUGUUAUUCUGUCUGGCAAGCGGCGAACGGGUGAGUAAAAUCUGGGGAUCUGCCCAACGGAGGGGGAUAACUAUUGGAAACGAUAGCUAAUACCGCAUAAAGUCGGUUUGACCAAAGUAGGGGAUCUCUUAUUAAAAUAAGUUUUUUGUUAUUUUUAAAAAAGACCUUAUGCCUUUGGAUGAACCCAGAUAGGAUUAGCUAGUAGGCGGGGUAAUAGCCCACCUAGGCUACGAUCCUUAGCUGGUCUGAGAGGAUGACCAGCCACACUGGAACUGAGACACGGUCCAGACUCCUACGGGAGGCAGCAGUGGGGAAUAUUGCACAAUGGGGGAAACCCUGAUGCAGCUAUACCGUGUGUGUGAAGAAGGCCUUCGGGUUGUAAAGCACUUUCAAUGGGGAAGAAUUUAAUAUUGCUAAUAUCAAUAUUAAUUGACGUUACCCAUGUAAGAAGCACCGGCUAACUCCGUGCCAGCAGCCGCGGUAAUACGGAGGGUGCAAGCGUUAAUCGGAAUUACUGGGCGUAAAGCGUACGCAGGUGGUGUAUAAAGUCAGAUGUGAAAUCCCUGAGCUUAACUUAGGAACUGCAUUUGAAACUAAUAAACUAGAGUCUCGUAGAGGGGGGUAGAAUUCCAGGUGUAGCGGUGAAAUGCGUAGAGAUCUGGAGGAAUACCAGUGGCGAAGGCGGCCCCCUGGACGGUGACUGACACUCAAGUACGAAAGCAUGGGGAGCAAACAGGAUUAGACAGGAUUAGAUACCCUGGUAGUCCAUGCUGUAAACGAUGUCGAUUUGAAGGUUGUAGACUUUGAGCUGUGACUUUCGAAGCUAACGCGUUAAAUCGACCGCCUGGGGAGUACGACCGCAAGGUUAAAACUCAAAUGAAUUGACGGGGGCCCGCACAAGCGGUGGAGCAUGUGGUUUAAUUCGAUGCAACACGAAGAACCUUACCUACUCUUGACAUCCAAAGAAUCUUAUAGAAAUAUGAGAGUGCCUUCGGGAACUUUGAGACAGGUGCUGCAUGGCUGUCGUCAGCUCGUGUUGUGAAAUGUUGGGUUAAGUCCCGCAACGAGCGCAACCCUUAUCCUUUGUUGCCAACGAGUAAAGUCGGGAACUCAAAGGAGACUGCCGGUGAUAAGCCGGAGGAAGGUGAGGAUGACGUCAAGUCAUCAUGGCCCUUAUGAGUAGGGCUACAAACGUGCUACAAUGGCGUAUACAAAGAGCAGCAAACUCGCGAGAGCCAGCGAACCUCAUCAAAGUACGUCUUAGUCCGGAUUGGAGUCUGCAACUCGACUCCAUGAAGUCGGAAUCGCUAGUAAUCGUGGAUCAGAAUGUCACGGUGAAUACGUUCCCGGGCCUUGUACACACCGCCCGUCACACCAUGGAAGUGGGUUGCAAAAGAAGUGAGUAGUCUAACC